RNAcentral lists this ribosomal RNA (497 nucleotides) under uncultured bacterium. RNAcentral's name for it is "partial 16S ribosomal RNA". It matches the Rfam family "Bacterial small subunit ribosomal RNA", at positions 28 to 507 of the family's 1533-position model. The record is from RNAcentral.
GAUGAACGCUGGCGGCGUGCCUAAUACAUGCAAGUCGAGCGAACAGACGAGGAUCUUGCUCCUCUGACGUUAGCGGCUGACGUGUGAGUAACACGUGGAUAACCUACCUAUAAUACUGGGAUAACUUCGGGAAACCGGAGCUAAUACCGGAUAAUAUAUUGAACCGCAUGGUUCAAUAGUGAAAUACGGUUUUUCUGUCUCUUAUAGAUGGAUCCGCGCCGCAUUAGCUAGUUGGUAAGGUAACGGCUUACCAAGGCAACGAUGCGUAGCCGACAUGAGAGGGGGAUCGGACAGACUGGAACUGAGACACGGUCCAGACGACUACGGGAGGCAGCAGAAGGGAAUAGUCCGCAAUGGGCGAAAGCAUGACGGAGCAAGGCCGCGUGAGUGAUGAAGGUGUUCGGAUAGUAAAACUCUGUUAUUAGGGAAGAAAAAAUGUGUAAGUAAAUAUGCACGUAUUGACGGUAACUAAUAAGAAAGCAACGGCUAACUACGUG